CCUGCUCGUCACCAUUAAAAGGUACGUGACCUGACUUCUUAUAAGAUCAGACAUAUAGCUAAGAACCGAGCUCAUGGUUAAAGACUAGUUCAGCUCGGAAAAAGCUUAUGAACAAGAAUAUCUUAGUAAAAUAGAUAGAUGGAUAAGUCAAAAGUUCAGACAAUUGAUAGAGUUUUGGUCCUGAUGGGCUUAAGGGUAAAAAGGAAAAACAAUAUAG
RNAcentral lists this long non-coding RNA (217 nucleotides) under Manihot esculenta (cassava). Its description in RNAcentral is "long non-coding RNA (MESC_LNC013177)". The record is from RNAcentral. Lineage: Eukaryota; Viridiplantae; Streptophyta; Magnoliopsida; Malpighiales; Euphorbiaceae.